Molecule: ribosomal RNA, 459 nt
Filed under: uncultured bacterium
Lineage: Bacteria
Description: partial 16S ribosomal RNA
Rfam family: Bacterial small subunit ribosomal RNA
Source: RNAcentral
CCUACGGGUGGCAGCAGUGAGGAAUAUUGGUCAAUGGGCGCGAGCCUGAACCAGCCAAGUCGCGUGAGGGAUGACAGCCCUAUGGAUUUUAAACCUCUUUUGUCGGGGAGUAAAGUACGCCACGUGUGGCGUUUUGUGAGUACCUGAUGAAUAAGCAUCGGCUAAUUCCGUGCCAGCAGCCGCGGUCAUACGGAGGAUGCGAGCGUUAUCCGGAUUUAUUGGGUUUAAAGGGUGCGUAGGCGGAUGCGUAAGUCAGCGGUAAAAUUGUGCGGCUCAACCGUAUACUGCCGUUGAAACUGUGGCACGUGAGUGCGCGAAGGGUAUACGGAAUGCGUGGUGUAGCGGUGAAAUGCUUAGAUAUCACGAAGAACUCCGAUUGCGAAGGCAGUGUACCGGCGCACGACUGACGCUCAUGCUCGAAAGUGUGGGUAUCGAACAGGAUUAGAUACCCCAGUAGUC